This 157-nucleotide microRNA precursor is filed under the name Pelobates cultripes (western spadefoot toad). Lineage: Eukaryota; Metazoa; Chordata; Amphibia; Anura; Pelobatidae. The record is from RNAcentral.
GCAGACACAUUCGAGCCAAUCAGCAGCAGACCCUCCCUUCUAGACCCUCCCACCUCCUGGACAGCAUCCAUUGUGAAGCUGCAUUCUUAGUGAGCUGUCCAGGAGGUGGGAGGGUCUGGGAGGGAGGGUCUGCUGUUGAUUGGCUGGAAUGUGUCUG